Molecule: ribosomal RNA, 254 nt
Filed under: uncultured bacterium
Lineage: Bacteria
Description: partial 16S ribosomal RNA
Rfam family: Bacterial small subunit ribosomal RNA
Source: RNAcentral
UACGGGGGGAGCAAGCGUUGUUCGGAUUUACUGGGCGUAAAGGGCGCGUAGGCGGCCACCGCAAGUCAGUUGUGAAAUCUCUGGGCUUAACCCAGAAAGGUCAACUGAUACUGCGGGGCUAGAGUGCAGAAGGGGCAAUCGGAAUUCUUGGUGUAGCGGUGAAAUGCGUAGAUAUCAAGAGGAACACCUGAGGUGAAGACGGGUUGCUGGGCUGACACUGACGCUGAGGCGCGAAAGCCAGGGGAGCAAACGGG